GUAAAGAAUAUUGCUGUUCAGAGUGACUGCCUCUCCCCAUUGGUAUCUUACAGCUGAUUUGCAUCCCCAUGUGCCUAACAAAAACAGAAAACCACAGGGGGAGGUAGGAAAUGUUACAUGCAAAAUUAUGUACCAUCUAUAUCUGAUGAAAUGAAAAGUAUUUGGAAAGACUCAAUGGCUCUUCACCAGAUGUUAUUGAGGAACCUGGAGAUCCUGUCAGGGAUGAAGUGGAUUAUUCGUGGCCUCCUGCUUAUUUUAUCUGCUUUUCUCUGCAUAUCUGCAUAUCCAAAACCUGUUUGUCCUCUAAAGUCAAAAUCUGCAUGCACACAAAAUGGAAAUAAUAAGAUCAAUAUGUUCAUACUGGGUCCAUGUGGUUUUAAAGGAUACAUGGAAAUAACUAAUUGCAAUCAUAAUAAAUGGGAUAUUUCACAGAACCAGACAGUGAGCUCACUUAAGUGCCAUUCUACUGUAUCAUCAGAGAACCUAUUCAAAGUCUAUGCUUUUCCAAUUGUUGAAAACGCAUCCGGUACAACACACAGUAGUGACUGUGGUGUUACUUUAUCAGGCAACUCACCUUACAAACUCAACAUAAACAGAUGUGUUAUGCCCAGGUUUGUCUGUUUAAUUGAAAAGAAAUGUAAAACUGACACUUUGACACACUGGAUGACAGAAGGUUGUAACUGGAUCCACCAAACCCCUACGUAUUUUAAGAAUGAUACAUGUAAUAUGACCUGCCUGAAUCCCAGAAAGACGUGUGAGAAUGCACAAUAUGAUUUGAACUGUAAAGGUGAUAAUGUAGGUAAUAUAAACAACAUUGUCAUCAGUGAUAACAUUCCAACUUGUUAUAAGUGUGGAAGUCCUCUUCCAAAUACGCCAAAAAUUAACACAUCCACAGUUUAUUUCAAUACUAAUAAAACAGAGAUAGAUGCUUCGGCAGCUGCUAAGGUCAUGGGAAACCUCUCCAGUGUUGUGUCUUUGAUGGGGAAUCAAACCGUUGCCUCUAUAUCCAUGGGUAAUGUUCAAGGGGUUUUAAAGAAAAUUCAAACUGAGUCUGAAAUCACAACAUCCUACUUCAUCUACUCUUCAGAAUCUGGCAUCAGUGUUAUAGAGGAUUUGGACGAACUGGAGAAUUUUCCCAAUGCUUUCUGUAUUCCAGCAGAAGCAGCUAAGGAAGCGCUCAACCAAAGUGCAGGAAGUGCUUUUAUGGGUAUUUUCCGCUUUCCCAACAUGUCAAAGGAUGCAGAGAAUAGUACGGUUUUGAAUGAUGAGGUUUAUGCAAUCGAAAUGGGGACAAAAAUUUCAAAUCUGAGUGAAAACAUCAGCUUGACAUUCGAAUAUCAGGUAUUCAAAUGUAUGGGGAAAAAAAGUGUUUCUAGAAAUGUAAAAUGCAUCCGAAUCUUAUUUUGUGAAAUUCUGAUGUAUUUCUCAGCAGGAGAAAGAGAAAAUUCCUGUUUGUCACUCAUGGGAUGGAAGCGGUCUGUGAUGCUCUUGUGUUCUUGUUUUUUAUUUGUGCAUUUUUUUUAUAGCACAGACAUUGAAAUAUUCUUUAAAAAAUGUCACAUUAAAAUAAUACACUUUCAGUUUCCAUAUCACAGAGAGCUAAAUUUCAAUGUUGGCAUUCGUACUUAAGCAAAUUUAGGAGAAUUGGUUAAGAGUUUGAAUCUUUCGCCCCAUGCUGCUGACCAAAGCAUAAUGUCAGUUUCAUUAAUUCCCUCUAAAUCUACUCAAAACUAACCAGUCCCUCCUUUUUUCAGGAAAUAGGCCAAACUGGACAACCGAAGGGUGCAGUACCCUUGAAGGAAUAAACAAUGUAACAUGUCAAUGCA
Long non-coding RNA from Cyprinus carpio (common carp), 1826 nucleotides. The record is from Ensembl. NCBI's taxonomy places the organism in Eukaryota, Metazoa, Chordata, Actinopteri, Cypriniformes, Cyprinidae.